Molecule: ribosomal RNA, 495 nt
Filed under: uncultured bacterium
Lineage: Bacteria
Description: partial 16S ribosomal RNA
Rfam family: Bacterial small subunit ribosomal RNA
Source: RNAcentral
GACGAACGCUGGCGGCGUGCCUAAUACAUGCAAGUAGAACGCUGAAGGAGGAGCUUGCUUCUCCGGAUGAGUUGCGAACGGGUGAGUAACGCGUAGGUAACCUGCCUGGUAGCGGGGGAUAACUAUUGGAAACGAUAGCUAAUACCGCAUAAGAGUAGAUGUCGCAUGACAUUUGCUUAAAAGGUGCAACUGCACCACUACCAGAUGGACCUGCGUUGUAUUAGCUAGUUGGUGAGGUAACGGCUCACCAAGGCAACGAUACAUAGCCGACCUGAGAGGGGGGUCGGCCGCACUGGGAGUGAGACACGGCCCAGAGUCCUACAGGAGGCAGCAGUAGGGAAUCGUCGGCAAUGGGCGGAAGUCUGACCGAGCAACGCCGCGGGAGUGAAGAAGGUCGUCGGAUCGGAAAGCUCUGUUGUCGGGGAAGAACGAGUGUGAGCGUGGAAAGUUGACUCAGUGACGGUAACUGACCAGAAAGCGACGGCUAACUACGUG